Molecule: ribosomal RNA, 513 nt
Filed under: Salmonella enterica subsp. enterica serovar Heidelberg
Lineage: Bacteria; Pseudomonadati; Pseudomonadota; Gammaproteobacteria; Enterobacterales; Enterobacteriaceae
Also listed under: 6 other names
Description: partial 23S ribosomal RNA
Rfam family: Bacterial large subunit ribosomal RNA
Source: RNAcentral
GAGUCUUAACCGGGCGUUAAGUUGCAGGGUAUAGACCCGAAACCCGGUGAUCUAGCCAUGGGCAGGUUGAAGGUUGGGUAACACUAACUGGAGGACCGAACCGACUAAUGUUGAAAAAUUAGCGGAUGACCUGUGGCUGGGGGUGAAAGGCCAAUCAAACCGGGAGAUAGCUGGUUCUCCCCGAAAGCUAUUUAGGUAGCGCCUCGUGAAUUCAUCUCCGGGGGUAGAGCACUGUUUCGGCUAGGGGGCCAUCCCGGCUUACCAACCCGAUGCAAACUGCGAAUACCGGAGAAUGUUAUCACGGGAGACACACGGCGGGUGCUAACGUCCGUCGUGAAGAGGGAAACAACCCAGACCGCCAGCUAAGGUCCCAAAGUCAUGGUUAAGUGGGAAACGAUGUGGGAAGGCCCAGACAGCCAGGAUGUUGGCUUAGAAGCAGCCAUCAUUUAAAGAAAGCGUAAUAGCUCACUGGUCGAGUCGGCCUGCGCGGAAGAUGUAACGGGGCUAAACCAU